UGAUGGACUAGGUCGGGCAGCUAGGCCCUGCCCUUUACCCGCAACUUCGGCCUUUAGCGGGGACCGAACCCGGGUGCGUCCGGUCAGACCGGUACGGGCCCCGGGAGCCAACGCAGAAGCCUCGUCCGUCGGGGACAGCGGUCCGUGGAAGUCGUCCGCAGGGUCGGCUGAACCGCGGUUCGUCGGUGACACUCCGCCAGGCGCGGAAGCGAGCAGCGGAUCACCGGACGUAUGUCGCUCGAGGGAUUGCGGGGUGGAGGAGGCAACCGGGAUUCCCCGCACCGGAACGCCGGGCAACCCCGUCGUCCACCA
This is a non-coding RNA of Halogeometricum borinquense DSM 11551, 312 nucleotides long. It matches the Rfam family "Archaeal signal recognition particle RNA". Lineage: Archaea; Methanobacteriati; Methanobacteriota; Halobacteria; Halobacteriales; Haloferacaceae. The record is from Rfam.